This is a non-coding RNA of Lupinus albus (white lupine), 412 nucleotides long. Lineage: Eukaryota; Viridiplantae; Streptophyta; Magnoliopsida; Fabales; Fabaceae. The record is from the annotation of a GenBank genome assembly.
CUUAUUCGAAAAUCGCGUAAGAAUCUCUUUUGCUAUCAUCUCUCUUCCUUACUUUUACUUUCUAUUAAAACCAAAUGAUUAUCUUCAUCAUGACAUUUCCUUCAUAUACCGCAAACCCCAAUUUUCAUUUCCUUCAAGGAAGAUGAAGAUGUUGUCUUCUUCGAGAUUAGAAUUCUUGAAUGAACACAAUCAAAAACCACCUUAUAUAACAGAAUCAAAGGGUAGCUUUUAAGAAAGAUUAGGAAGCUUUCAUUUUUUGUGGGGAAUGUCGCCUGGUCCAAGGAGAUAAACUAUCUUUAGAACUUAUCAUAUAUGAAUAUGAUGUAUCAUGUAAGUAACAAUAUCCUGAUUGUAUAAUUGUGUUUUUGUCACAAGUUAGUGUCUUCUCGGACCAGGCUUCAUUCCCCUCAAU